CUGCAAGUCGCACGAGAAAUCUGGGGCAACCUGGAGAGUACAGUGGCGCACGGGUGAGUAGCGCGUGGGUAACCUGCCCUUGAGUUGGGGAUAACUUCGCGAAAGCGGGGCUAAUACCGGAUAAUAUGCCACCUCUUCGGGGGUUGGCAUCAAAGGUGACCUCUGCAUGCAAGUUACUGCUCAAGGAGGGGCCCGCGUACCAUUAGCUAGUUGGUGAGAUAAUGGCCCACCAAGGCAACGAUGGUUAGCUGGUCUGAGAGGAUGGCCAGCCACACUGGAACUGAGACACGGUCCAGACUCCUACGGGAGGCAGCAGUGGGGAAUCUUGCGCAAUGGGGGAAACCCUGACGCAGCAACGCCGCGUGGGUGAUGAAGGCCUUCGGGUCGUAAAGCCCUGUCAGGUGGGAAGAAACACAUCGGGACGAAUAAUCCCGAUGUUUGACG
This 444-nucleotide ribosomal RNA is filed under the name uncultured bacterium. RNAcentral describes it as "bacterial SSU rRNA". It matches the Rfam family "Bacterial small subunit ribosomal RNA", at positions 55 to 474 of the family's 1533-position model. The record is from RNAcentral.